UUUACCAUUAUACAAUAUUGAUCGUGUUACCACUCAAUUUUUGCUCGCUCUUCGAAAAAAUUAUUUUCAAAUUCGCUAAAAUUUUAUAUUCAAAAGUGAGAUAAUUAUUGUAAGUAGUUUAGUAUUUUUUAUUAUUUUUUUCAGGAAAAAAAAAAAAAAAAGAUUCCGAAUCCGAAUGUAGCCUUGAUCGUCUAUAUUAGGUCCAAACCCGCGCUUAUGUAUUGCGAAUUCCAGCGGGAAAUCGUGGAGCAGCGGCGCCUCAUAUUUCUAUUAUCGAAAGCAAAGAAGUUCCCAAUCUAAGGGUUCAUAAAGUCUUACGUUUGCAGAUAAGAACGAAGGGAUGGGGACUCGACAAGGAACUGUGUGAUGGUUGAGUGAGUUGAGGCCAAGUCGUAGAUCUGAUCGUGAGACAACUUGAGGCAUAUGAGAAAUAAUGAGGUUCUAUUUUGUUGACGACUGUUGUUUGUGACUGUUCAUUGUUGUCAAAUCUUGUCCAUUGGAGGGUAGCGGUUCCAACAAUUUUAGGGUGCGUUCCUCUGCCAUACUGUGAUUGCCCUUUCAAAUCAGAAUGACAUUAUGAAAUUUGACCUCAAUCGUCCAUUCUGGUUUAAAGGAGCGAACUUCAAAUGGUGGAAGUAGAAGAUGCUGUUUUUCCUCACAGAGCCAAUGGUCCCAAAUGAAGAUCCGACUGAACAACAAAUAAAAGAAGUUGUUGAUUGGCCGAUUGUUGUCUGUUUUUCAACAAAUAAAACAAGAGAUGCCCAUGUUUUAAAGGGAAUGGAGAGAUAGAUAAAUGUUCCAUUUUCUUGACGACUAUUGUUUGUGACUGUUCAUUGUUGUCAAAUCUUUCCCAUCGGAGGGUAGCAGUUCCAACAAUUUUAAGACGCGUUCCUCUUCCACUGCUGUGAUGGCCCUUUCAAAUCAGAACGAUAUUAUGACAUUUGACCUCAAUCGUCCAUUCCGGUUCGAAGGAGCGAACUUCAAAUGGUGGAAACAAAAGAUGCUGUUUUUCCUCACAGUCAAGAAGAUUGCCACGUUUAUAUUACGAAGAAGCCAACGGUCUCGAAUGAAGAUCCGAUUGAACAACAAAUAAAAGAAGCUGCUGAUUGGGAAGAUUUUUUUUUUUUUUUUGUGUAAAAAUUUUAGAUUAAAUGGUUUGACUGGUGAUCUGUAUGAUUACUACAGCACAAUGAAGACAACAAAGGAAGUUUGGGACGCCCUACAGAAGAAGUACGAUACUGAGGAGGUCGGAUCGAAAAAAUAUGUUGUCAACCGUUUCCUUAAGUUCCAGAUGACGAAUGACAAAUUUGUAGAGCCCUAGUCCCAUGAACUGCAGAAGAUAACCCAUGAAAUAAUAAAUGAAGAUAUGCUCCUAAAUGAGCAAUUCCAAAUUGUCGUGAUAAGUUGCCUCCUUUGUGGAAGGAUUUCAAGAACACCUUGAGGCAUAAGACCAAGGAGUCUUCCUUGAAGAGUCUGAUCACUCGACUGAGGAUUGAGGAAGAAGCCCGAAAGUAGGACCAGAGGGAGGAGAUGAAUAUUGUUUCUGGGAAAGUCACCUCUACCGUGAUGAAGCCUAACCAAAAGUCCAAGGGAACCAAGACGAAAGGUCAAAACCGUGGUUCUAGCAACCAGAACAAUCAGAAGAAGCAAAAACAACCCUCGAGAGAAAUGGUAUAGUUCCUUUGCUUCAACUAUAAUAAACCUGGACACAUGGCUAGACAUGGUAGGAACAAACAUCGUUCUGUUAGUCAGGCAAACUUGACAGAAGAACCGUUAGUUGCCAUGAUCACAGAAGUAAAUGUGAUCGGUGGUUCUGAGGGAUGGUAGAUAGACACUAGCGCUAUGUGCCAUGUCGACAAACCUUAGUCUCUUUAAAAUUUAUACUGAAACUAAGGAUAAGAACAUUCUGUUGGUGGAUCACCAUUCAAUGAAAGUUGUUGGAACCGACGAGGUGGAGCUGAAAUUUACAUCUAGGAAGACUCUCACCUUGAAAGAUGUCCUACACACUCCGGAGAUAAGAAAGAAUUUGGUCUCGAGCUAUCUUCUCAACAAGGUCAGAUUUAACCAAACAAUAGGGGCAGAUUUAUAUACCCUUAUUAAGAAUAAUGUAUUCGA
Non-coding RNA from Benincasa hispida (wax gourd), 2115 nucleotides. Lineage: Eukaryota; Viridiplantae; Streptophyta; Magnoliopsida; Cucurbitales; Cucurbitaceae. The record is from RefSeq and is a predicted model, not a curated record.